Molecule: ribosomal RNA, 207 nt
Filed under: uncultured bacterium
Lineage: Bacteria
Description: partial 16S ribosomal RNA
Rfam family: Bacterial small subunit ribosomal RNA
Source: RNAcentral
CGCGUAGGCGGUUACUUAAGUCGGAUGUGAAAGCCCUCGGCUUAACUGAGGAAGUGCAUCCGAAACUGAGUAGCUAGAGUACGAAAGAGGGUCGCGGAAUUCCCGGUGUAGAGGUGAAAUUCGUAGAUAUCGGGAGGAACACCGGUGGCGAAGGCGGCGACCUGGGUCGAGACUGACGCUGAGGCGCGAAAGCGUGGGGAGCAAACA